Long non-coding RNA from Bradysia coprophila, 526 nucleotides. The record is from RefSeq and is a predicted model, not a curated record. Lineage: Eukaryota; Metazoa; Arthropoda; Insecta; Diptera; Sciaridae.
GAGAGAUAAACCUCAGUCGAUAAUUGGUAAAGAUAUUUAAUUUUACUAUCUGUCGGUAACAGAACGGAAUCAACGAAAUGCAGAUCUUAAAUAAAUUCGUUGCAAUUGCUACUCUAACGUUCCUGUUAGCACUCGUAGUUGAACAAAGUUUCUCGCAUCCAACCAAUGACGAAGGAGAAUUGCGAAUCGUCAAACGCGGAAUUUUCGACUGUCCUCAUAAUUGCUGGGGGAGUGCUAACAACGCUCGUAAUCGAUGCGGUGAUAGCCACUGUUUCAUCCGUACGUUUCAUGGAGCGUGCUUCUGCUGUGAUCGGAGUAAAAAUGGUAAACGAGAAAUUUAUGGGGACCAGUGUGCAUAAGCUUGAAUAAAUUCAAUAACUUCUUGAGAACUACAGGAACAUCUACGGACUAUGAAAAGGAACUGUAGCAAUAAAAUAUUCUCCUAAUUGUCAAAGAAACCUAUCUGAAUUAAAUAAAAAUUUAGAAACGGCUGACAUCAGUCGCAAAUUGCUUGAGACAAACAAAA